Molecule: non-coding RNA, 677 nt
Organism: Phasianus colchicus (ring-necked pheasant)
Lineage: Eukaryota; Metazoa; Chordata; Aves; Galliformes; Phasianidae
Source: RefSeq, a predicted model, not a curated record
CCGGCCCGCCGCCCGCAGCGGCCCCUGCAUUGCGGAGCGCUACCUGAGCGGGGCGGCUCCCGCGGCCCGGCACGGCGGUGCCGCCAGGAGGCGGAGUGCUGAGGUAGUUGGAAAAGCGCACCUCGGGAUCUGCGCCGCUGCCGCCUUCCAGCUGUGCUGGCGCGGCGCUGAGCUCUCCGGCCCCUUCCUGGGCUUCGCUGAUGAAAGAGAUGAAUAUAAGAAAAGUUGCUGCUUGAUCUGGGGAACUAUGAGAUGUCGUCUACUUGGUGAGAUCAACAAGUUCUAAGCCCCUCCAAACUGCCAGCAGCCUGAGGACAAAGAAGAUCCUUGGAAGAGAGGGGAGCUUGGGGGAGGUGAACUGCACGAGCUCCAACCUGCUAGAGAAAAUCUGGGAGCAGCAACAUCUCGCUCGCCUGACUCGGGUUCAUAGGAAGAAGUACUCAGAAAGGUAGGUGCAUCUCAUAGACAUACCUUAUUCAUUAAUAAGCAAAUAUAACCACCAUUAAAAACCUGUGCUACAGUCCCUGUGGCAAGUAGUAUACAUUUUGAGACCACAGCGGGUAAGAGGCUAUUAAAGGAAAAAAAUUGGUAUUGGAAAGUGCUUCCAGUUGAUCUCUUUUUAUGAAUCUACAAAAAUAAAUACUUAGGAGAAGUGGCCUUGAAUACAUAUCACAGAA